This 394-nucleotide ribosomal RNA is filed under the name uncultured Synurales. Its description in RNAcentral is "partial small subunit ribosomal RNA". It matches the Rfam family "Eukaryotic small subunit ribosomal RNA", at positions 30 to 432 of the family's 1831-position model. The record is from RNAcentral. Lineage: Eukaryota; Synurophyceae; Synurales.
GCUUGUCUCAAAGAUUAAGCCAUGCAUGUCUAAGUAUAAAUUAGUUUAUAUUUGAAACUGCGAAUGGCUCAUUAUAUCAGUUAUAGUUUAUUUGAUGGUCCUUGCUACUUGGAUAACCGUAGUAAUUCUAGAGCUAAUACAUGCAUAAAUCCCCGACUGCUUGGAAGGGGUGUAUUUAUUAGAUGGAAACCAAUUCGGGGCAACCCGGCUCAUGGUGAUUCAUAAUAACUUUCGGAUCGACCUUUCGGUCGAUGCAUCAUUCAAGUUUCUGCCCUAUCAGUUUUGGAUGGUAGGGUAUUGGCCUACCAUGACUUUAACGGGUAACGGAGAAUUAGGGUUCGAUUCCGGAGAGGGAGCCUGAGAAAUGGCUACCACAUCCAAGGAAGGCAGCAGG